GAUGAACGCUGGCGGCGUGCCUAACACAUGCAAGUCGAGCGAUUCUCUUCGGAGAAGAGCGGCGGACGGGUGAGUAACGCGUGGGUAACCUGCCCUGUACACACGGAUAACAUACCGAAAGGUAUGCUAAUACGGGAUAAUAUAUAAGAGUCGCAUGACUUUUAUAUCAAAGAUUUUUCGGUACAGGAUGGACCCGCGUMUGAUUAGCUUGUUGGCGGGGUAMCGGCCCACCAAGGCGACGAUCAGUAGCCGACCUGAGAGGGUGAUCGGCCACAUUGGAACUGAGACACGGUCCAAACUCCUACGGGAGGCAGCAGUGGGGAAUAUUGCACAAUGGGCGCAAGCCUGAUGCAGCAACGCCGCGUGAGCGAUGAAGGCCUUCGGGUSGUAAAKCUYUGUCCUCAAGGAAGAUAA
RNAcentral lists this ribosomal RNA (414 nucleotides) under uncultured bacterium. RNAcentral describes it as "bacterial SSU rRNA". It matches the Rfam family "Bacterial small subunit ribosomal RNA", at positions 28 to 451 of the family's 1533-position model. The record is from RNAcentral.